UACAGAGGUCCCAAGCGUUGUUCGGAUUCAUUGGGCGUAAAGGGUGUGUAGGUGGCGCCGUAAGUCGGGUGUGAAAUUUCGGAGCUUAACUCCGAAACUGCAUUCGAUACUGCGGUGCUUGAGGACUGGAGAGGAGACUGGAAUUCAUGGUGUAGCAGUGAAAUGCGUAGAGAUCAUGAGGAAGACCAGUGGCGAAGGCGGGUCUCUGGACAGUUCCUGACACUGAGGAGCGAAAGUGUGGGGAGCGAACAGG
Molecule: ribosomal RNA, 253 nt
Filed under: uncultured bacterium
Lineage: Bacteria
Description: partial 16S ribosomal RNA
Rfam family: Bacterial small subunit ribosomal RNA
Source: RNAcentral